GCCUGGGUGGCUCAGUUGGUUGAGCUUCUGAUUUCAGCUCAGGUCAUGAUCUCUCAUGAUUUGUGAGUUUGAGUCCUGCAUCAGGCU
RNAcentral lists this transfer RNA (87 nucleotides) under Felis catus (domestic cat). It matches the Rfam family "tRNA". Rfam says of the family: Transfer RNA (tRNA) molecules are approximately 80 nucleotides in length. Their secondary structure includes four short double-helical elements and three loops (D, anti-codon, and T loops). Lineage: Eukaryota; Metazoa; Chordata; Mammalia; Carnivora; Felidae. The record is from Rfam by way of RNAcentral. RNAcentral also lists the same sequence under 3 other names.